AUUGAACGCUGGCGGCAGGCCUAACACAUGCAAGUCGAGCGGAUGAAGGGAGCUUGCUCCUGGAUUCAGCGGCGGACGGGUGAGUAAUGCCUAGGAAUCGGCCUGGUAGUGGGGGAUAACGUCCGGAAACGGGCGCUAAUACCGCAUACGUCCUGAGGGAGAAAGUGGGGGAUCUUCGGACCUCACGCUAUCAGAUGAGCCUAGGUCGGAUUAGCUAGUUGGUGGGGUAAAGGCCUACCAAGGCGACGAUCCGUAACUGGUCUGAGAGGAUGAUCAGUCACACUGGAACUGAGACACGGUCCAGACUCCUACGGGAGGCAGCGGCGGGGACUAUUGGAAAAUGGGCGAAAGCCUGCUCCAGCCAUGCCGCGUGUGUGCAGAAGGUCUUCGGAUUGUAAAGCACUUUAAGUUGGGAGGACGGGCAGUAAGUUGAUACCUUGCUGUUUUGACGUUACCAACAGAAUAAGCACCGGCUAACUUCGUG
RNAcentral lists this ribosomal RNA (484 nucleotides) under uncultured bacterium. RNAcentral describes it as "partial 16S ribosomal RNA". It matches the Rfam family "Bacterial small subunit ribosomal RNA", at positions 30 to 507 of the family's 1533-position model. The record is from RNAcentral.